CUCCUCUCUAAUUUGUUCAGACAUUGUGGUGUGUCUGGCCAUAUCAUUUGUCAUAGGUGUAAAAACAAUCACAACCAAAGCUUAAAGCUGUUGGGAUGAGCAGCUGCCUGGGAAUCACGCUCCUUCCUGCUCUUUCCAAAAAGCCAGGUGCCGCCGGCCAGCAUCCCGCUCCCUUUGACCCGCAGUCUGUGCGGGAAGUAGGCCCGGAGUGGUGCCAGCAGGAGGUGGCCUUAGAAAGGCGGAGACCCAAGGAGCAGAGUGAGUCGGCGUCCAGCUCCACCUGAAAGCGCCAUCUUGUCGCCACUUCCCUCAGGAGCAGCAUGCCCAGCCUCUUGCAUAGGAAGAAGUGGUAAGCUAAGGAGAGAAAUGCAGGGUUCCUAGUACACCAAUUUUCCAACUUUUUCAUCUUGGCCCUGCUUUAAAAUGAUGCAUCUACUGUCUUCAUGCCUCAGCACAGCAGAGAAAACCAUGCUGUGUUCCAGUUUACUUUGAAUGUUUCAGUGAAAAUGAUGAAGCUGAAAAAAUGACGGAGGCCCGUUUUACAUUGCAUUUCUCAGAGUCAUCGCCUCUGCUGCAGAUGGAACAACAGCCAUGGAGAAUGAGGGUCACCUGAAUGUGGAAAAGUUGAGUUGGAGCAAAACUGGCACGGCCAUACUGGAUGGACCUCAGCAUGACCAGGACACAUUUCAGCUCAAAUCCCCUGUGCCAAGAACACAUUCUGCCAAGGACCACCACCUCUUCCCACAACUGUGAGUGGAUUUAUGUCAUCACAGGAGGUGCAAAAACGUGUGGUGAGGUAAAUGAAUUGGGAUGUCCUUGGCUGCCUGAGCAAGAGGGCAACUUUCCUGCCUUUAGAAUAGAGAAAACACAGCAGGAUAAUUAAGAGGAUGAGACUUUGGUUCCAACAGACAGUGGCUUCUCCUUCCCUAAAUUGCCCUUAUUUUGUAGUAAGUUAUAAUAUGUUUAUUUUCUACCACCUUAUUACUUCACUACGUGAACCAAAAAUAAAAUCCUAAAGCCAAC
RNAcentral lists this long non-coding RNA (1023 nucleotides) under Homo sapiens (human). RNAcentral's name for it is "HSALNT0151915". The record is from RNAcentral. Lineage: Eukaryota; Metazoa; Chordata; Mammalia; Primates; Hominidae.